This 805-nucleotide long non-coding RNA is filed under the name Homo sapiens (human). RNAcentral describes it as "HSALNT0319151". The record is from RNAcentral. Lineage: Eukaryota; Metazoa; Chordata; Mammalia; Primates; Hominidae.
AGUUGAGAACCGUUACUUGACUGGUACCUCCAGCCCACCAGCAGGCAAUGAUGGCAUCAGACUAGAGGAUCACCAGUAAAUCAUUGUAAACAAGCGUGGAAAGAGAGAAAGUCCACUUUAAGCGAUGGAAAAUCAGCCCCAAUUCUGAAGGAACAACCAUGAACAGAUGAUUUAAGGAGAAUCAAUUCUUUGCUCUUUGCAGAAGGAGCCAACAGAGUGAGAUGAAGGGGACAACUUCAGAUACUCAGGCAGAAGCAUAAGUCCCCACCUGCUGACCUGCUGCCUGCUAUCUUAACACGAAUUCUUCAUCUGAAUGGAUGAGCUUUUCACAGAGUUCCAAACUAAGGAAUCCAGGAGUGGCCAAUCCAGAGAUUCAUUCCUUAUCUUUGACGAACAUCUGAACUCCUGGCUCAUCCUGUGGAAUUCAGGCCAUACAGGAGAUCAAGGUCAUUUGCUUUGGGUUAAAUGAAUGUUGCCAGGUGGAGGUUGCUAGAGGGAGAGUGCUAUGUGAAAGUGCUGUAUAAACUGCUUGCUUUUCACAAACAGUAGUGAUUCUUUAUCCUGUCCAGCCUGCCACAACUGGACCAUCCUGUAUGUAAGUCCCCUUAAUAAAUCCUGUGUCUCAUUCACUGGCUUCAAGUCUCUUCCUGGGCCUCUUGAACGUGGUGCCACCUGUAUUGAAGUCAACAGAAGUUCAGCACAACACAGGUCAAAAUGAAGAUUCUGACUCAGUAGGUCAGGAUGUUCUAACGAGCUCUAGCUGACAUGAUACGUCAGGGCUGCAGACUAGCUUUGAGCAACAAGG